GAAACAGUGCUGCUGGUUGCUGGCUGGAUAGAUUUUGCCAAUGAGAUCCAUUGCCCAUCCCCUGAAAGGCCAUGGUUUUACUACUGGAUUCAUGGGAACCGAAGGAGCCUGCUGGAUUAGGCCGUGCCUUUGACAGGCCUCAUAUCCUUUGGAAUAGUUGAUGCAAUCCUUCAUCAUGGUUGGCCAGAAGUAGCCAUACCUUCUGAUUAACCGGC
This 215-nucleotide long non-coding RNA is filed under the name Prunus persica (peach). RNAcentral's name for it is "long non-coding RNA (PPER_LNC006105)". The record is from RNAcentral. Lineage: Eukaryota; Viridiplantae; Streptophyta; Magnoliopsida; Rosales; Rosaceae.